GUAUCGGUCCCAAAUCCCGCCGCUUCCAGCCAGUGGCCCUUAAGGUGCAGGCUGGGGCAGCGGCUGUAAUAGCGGGUCAUAUCGUUGCGGUCGGCGUGGCGGCGGCU
This 107-nucleotide small RNA is filed under the name Gibbsiella quercinecans. RNAcentral's name for it is "isrA Hfq binding RNA". The record is from RNAcentral. Lineage: Bacteria; Pseudomonadati; Pseudomonadota; Gammaproteobacteria; Enterobacterales; Yersiniaceae.